CUCCCAGUGAUGAGCCACGCCCCGCCUCCCCCCUCCGGCCGAUGAGCCAGGCCCCGGCCUCACAACUCCUGCCGUCACGCCGCGCCCCUGCCUCACAACUCCCGCCGUCACGCCGCGCGCUGACCUGCCGCCGCAGCAAUCGCCACAAACAAGAAGCCAUUGUCACCCCAUCCCCAGUCUCCACAGCCACCAGCCGCUGUCGCGCUCGACCUCCAACCACCGCCUCCACGCCCGUCAGCCGCCGUUGUGAACCACCUCCAGUUGCGGCCUCCAAUACCCGCUGGUGCGGCGACCUCCCAGCCCCAAGUAUAUGUCAUGUGGGGCGCUGCGUACAGGCGCGGGUCGCGCGCCCAGGAGCAGCAGCCGAUGGCCACAGCUGGCGAGGCAUGAUCGGGGCAAGGAGUCCUGAUCCUACGUUGGUUCCUAGAGUCCAGGAGUAGUUAGUUUCCUAGUUUGUUAGAAGCCCAUAAGGCCUUUAUAUAUCCUGUAAUCUGCACCCUUUGACGCAAGAAAUAAAUCAUUAUCUCCUA
Molecule: long non-coding RNA, 530 nt
Organism: Triticum dicoccoides
Lineage: Eukaryota; Viridiplantae; Streptophyta; Magnoliopsida; Poales; Poaceae
Exons: 2
Source: RefSeq, a predicted model, not a curated record